CAGNCCUAACACAUGCAAGUCGAGCGGUAGAGAGAAGCUUGCUUCUCUUGAGAGCGGCGGACGGGUGAGUAAUGCCUAGGAAUCUGCCUGGUAGUGGGGGAUAACGUUCGGAAACGGACGCUAAUACCGCAUACGUCCUACGGGAGAAAGCAGGGGACCUUCGGGCCUUGCGCUAUCAGAUGAGCCUAGGUCGGAUUAGCUAGUUGGUGAGGUAAUGGCUCACCAAGGCGACGAUCCGUAACUGGUCUGAGAGGAUGAUCAGUCACACUGGAACUGAGACACGGUCCAGACUCCUACGGGAGGCAGCAGUGGGGAAUAUUGGACAAUGGGCGAAAGCCUGAUCCAGCCAUGCCGCGUGUGUGAAGAAGGUCUUCGGAUUGUAAAGCACUUUAAGUUGGGAGGAAGGGCAGUUACCUAAUACGUGAUUGUUUUGACGUUACCGACAGAAUAAGCACCGGCUAACUCUGUGCCAGCAGCCGCGGUAAUACAGAGGGUGCAAGCGUUAAUCGGAAUUACUGGGCGUAAAGCGCGCGUAGGUGGUUUGUUAAGUUGGAUGUGAAAUCCCCGGGCUCAACCUGGGAACUGCAUUCAAAACUGACUGACUAGAGUAUGGUAGAGGGUGGUGGAAUUUCCUGUGUAGCGGUGAAAUGCGUAGAUAUAGGAAGGAACACCAGUGGCGAAGGCGACCACCUGGACUGAUACUGACACUGAGGUGCGAAAGCGUGGGGAGCAAACAGGAUUAGAUACCCUGGUAGUCCACGCCGUAAACGAUGUNAACUAGCCGUUGGGAGCCUUGAGCUCUUAGUGGCGCAGCUAACGCAUUAAGUG
RNAcentral lists this ribosomal RNA (828 nucleotides) under gamma proteobacterium Tree1_3a. Its description in RNAcentral is "bacterial SSU rRNA". It matches the Rfam family "Bacterial small subunit ribosomal RNA", at positions 43 to 866 of the family's 1533-position model. Lineage: Bacteria; Pseudomonadati; Pseudomonadota; Gammaproteobacteria. The record is from RNAcentral.